This 406-nucleotide unclassified non-coding RNA is filed under the name uncultured fungus. RNAcentral's name for it is "sequence contains ITS1". The stretch from base 1 to 105 matches the Rfam family "5.8S ribosomal RNA", at positions 50 to 154 of the family's 154-position model. The record is from RNAcentral. Lineage: Eukaryota; Fungi.
AAAGUGCGAUAAGCAAUGCGAAUUGCAGAAUUCCGCGAAUCAUCAGAUCCUUGAACGCAACUGGCGCCAGGAGGCUAUCCUCCUGGCAUGUCUGUUUCAGUGUCUGAAAACAUCACAAUCUAACUUAAUGUGGUUGAUGACGAAAGUGAGAAAUGGGGGUGGGAUUUGUUAGACUUUCUUAGUCUCUUAACCUCCCCCCUUAUUAAUCUUUCUCCUUCUCGAAAUCUCCCAUAAAAGAUGUACAUGCGGGUCUUUGAACCCCUCAUCGAAUUGGUCACUGUCUCUUCAGUGAUUUCGAUAGGGGGAAAACAUAACAAAUCAAUUACCUAAAUGCAUGUAGGAACCUUAACUCCUUAAACUUCAAACUCUGCAUCUGAAAUCAGGCAAGAUCACCCGCUGAACUUAA